Molecule: ribosomal RNA, 301 nt
Filed under: uncultured bacterium
Lineage: Bacteria
Description: partial 16S ribosomal RNA
Rfam family: Bacterial small subunit ribosomal RNA
Source: RNAcentral
CAGCAGCCGCGGGAAUACGUAGGGUGCAAGCGUUAAUCGGGAUUACUGGGCGUAAAGCGUGCGCAGGCGGUUUGUUAAGACAGAUGUGAAAUCCCCGGGCUCAACCUGGGAACUGCAUUUGUGACUGGCAAGCUAGAGUGUGGCAGAGGGGGGUGGAAUUCCGCGUGUAGCAGUGAAAUGCGUAGAUAUGCGGAGGAACACCGAUGGCGAAGGCAGCCCCCUGGGCCAACACUGACGCUCAUGCACGAAAGCGUGGGGAGCAAACAGGAUUAGAUACCCCAGUAGUCCCUGUCUCUUAUAC